CAGUAGCCGCGGUAAUACGAAGGGUGCAAGCGUUAAUCGGAAUUACUGGGCGUAAAGCGCGCGUAGGUGGUUUGGUAAGAUGGAUGUGAAAUCCCCGGGCUCAACCUGGGAACUGCAUCCAUAACUGCCUGACUAGAGUACGGUAGAGGGUGGUGGAAUUUCCUGUGUAGCGGUGAAAUGCGUAGAUAUAGGAAGGAACACCAGUGGCGAAGGCGACCACCUGGACUGAUACUGACACUAAGGUGCGAAAGCGUGGGGAGCAAACAGGAUUAGAGACCCCUGUAGUCCCUGUCUCUUAUAC
Molecule: ribosomal RNA, 301 nt
Filed under: uncultured bacterium
Lineage: Bacteria
Description: partial 16S ribosomal RNA
Rfam family: Bacterial small subunit ribosomal RNA
Source: RNAcentral